AUUGAACGCUGGCGGCAUGCUUUACACAUGCAAGUCGAACGGCAGCGCGGGCUUCGGCCUGGCGGCGAGUGGCGAACGGGUGAGUAAUGCAUCGGAACGUGCCCAGUAGUGGGGGAUAGCCCGGCGAAAGCCGGAUUAAUACCGCAUACGACCUGAGGGUGAAAGCGGGGGACCGAAAGGCCUCGCGCUAUUGGAGCGGCCGAUGUCGGAUUAGCUAGUUGGUGGGGUAAAGGCUUACCAAGGCGACGAUCCGUAGCUGGUCUGAGAGGACGACCAGCCACACUGGGACUGAGACACGGCCCAGACUCCUACGGGAGGCAGCAGUGGGGAAUUUUGGACAAUGGGGGCAACCCUGAUCCAGCCAUGCCGCGUGCGGGAAGAAGGCCUUCGGGUUGUAAACCGCUUUUGUCCGGGAAGAAGUCCUCUGGGCUAAUACCCCGGGGGGAUGACGGUACCGGAAGAAUAAGCACCGGCUAACUACGUG
Molecule: ribosomal RNA, 484 nt
Filed under: uncultured bacterium
Lineage: Bacteria
Description: partial 16S ribosomal RNA
Rfam family: Bacterial small subunit ribosomal RNA
Source: RNAcentral